AGAAAUAUGUCUGAAAAAGAGUUACUUUGAUAGAGUAAAU
This 40-nucleotide transfer RNA is filed under the name Stenocranius gregalis (narrow-headed vole). RNAcentral's name for it is "partial tRNA-Ile". The record is from RNAcentral. Lineage: Eukaryota; Metazoa; Chordata; Mammalia; Rodentia; Cricetidae.